This 306-nucleotide ribosomal RNA is filed under the name Triticum aestivum (bread wheat). Its description in RNAcentral is "partial small subunit ribosomal RNA". The record is from RNAcentral. Lineage: Eukaryota; Viridiplantae; Streptophyta; Magnoliopsida; Poales; Poaceae.
AUGAUGAGCAAGAAGGACUCAAGGGAGGAGGAGUGUCGGCGUUACAAAGAAGAGCAAAUGAACUCCUUCAUGGAGAUCCAAAGGAGGAGGCUUGAGAUGUACGCGGAGGAGCAAGCCAAGAUGCUAGAGAUCGAGGCCACCAACGCCAAGACCAAGGCGAAAGAAGUGUCUCUUGUGAGCAUGACGACCGGGGUGGAGAUCAUGAAGGUGGAUCUCAACACCGUGUCACCAAGGAAGAGGCCGUGGUUCGAGAAGACGCAGGCCGACAUGGUCAAGUUCGACGACGACUGUGUUAAACAUAGAUAG